RNAcentral lists this ribosomal RNA (254 nucleotides) under uncultured bacterium. RNAcentral's name for it is "partial 16S ribosomal RNA". It matches the Rfam family "Bacterial small subunit ribosomal RNA", at positions 524 to 776 of the family's 1533-position model. The record is from RNAcentral.
UACGAAGGGGGGCUAGCGUUGCUCGGAAUCACUGGGCGUAAAGCGCACGUAGGCGGCUUUCUAAGUCAGGGGUGAAAUCCUGGAGCUCAACUCCAGAACUGCCUUUGAUACUGGAAAGCUUGAGUUCGGGAGAGGUGAGUGGAACUGCGAGUGUAGAGGUGAAAUUCGUAGAUAUUCGCAAGAACACCAGUGGCGAAGGCGGCUCACUGGCCCGAUACUGACGCUGAGGUGCGAAAGCGUGGGGAGCAAACAGG